ACACUUGACAAAGGAAACUGCUCCAGAGAAAGAGGACAGGAUUGAGAAGGAUGGUCCCUGUGAGACACGCCAUUCCUGAUCAGACACUGCUUCACAAACUUGAAAGCUUGAGAAGAUUCCAAAGCAUCAGUCCCCAGCCUCUACACCAACAAGGAAAUGUUAACCAACAAAACAACCUGAUAUAUCCAACUCUGGAGCCCAAAUGCUAUGGGCCACUGAACACCAAGAGGCAGCGGGCCGGCUGAUCAUUUGGCAAAGCGGCCUGAUCUCAUGGUUUUACCCCUAAGGAAGCCAGCAUGUGGCUACUGACCCACCCACCACAGGAAUCCAGGGGCUAAAUGCCUAAGCCAACGGCCCAGGUUCUCAAGAGGCCAGGCAGGGUGAGGGACCACAAUAAUUCCUCAGCAGCAACCACUACCAUGUUGUAAAAUAACAUAGCUUUGUGUUCCCCAAUAAAAUCAUUAAAUCGCAUUCUUUGAAAGUUUUGUUUAGUCCUUUUAUAAAAAUAUGAGGCGCGCCUGAUUUUCAUACCCACAAGCUCAGAUCUGCAAAUAUUAGAGAUUUUUUUU
Molecule: long non-coding RNA, 569 nt
Organism: Bos taurus (domestic cattle)
Lineage: Eukaryota; Metazoa; Chordata; Mammalia; Artiodactyla; Bovidae
Source: Ensembl